Molecule: RNA transcript, 1157 nt
Organism: Prunus dulcis (almond)
Lineage: Eukaryota; Viridiplantae; Streptophyta; Magnoliopsida; Rosales; Rosaceae
Gene name: pentatricopeptide repeat-containing protein At3g56030, mitochondrial-like
Exons: 1
Source: RefSeq, a predicted model, not a curated record
CCCAAUUAAGCCCAACAUUUUCAAACCAAAACCCCCCAGCCAUUACUCAAUUUGGGGGGUCUUCAUCGAGACUACGAGCUUCUGCUUCUUCUAUUCAGCAGCCUUAAACCCUAAACCCUCGGAGUUAGAGCCAGCCAACCAUGGCACUCCUAGGAAAACUUCCCCACAAACCACUAAAUUCCCAAUAUAUCCUAACCGUCGCCGCCUGAUUCUUCACAACCCAAAGCCCCAAUUUCAACACUUUCCCCGAUAUCCCCACCUCGGCCUACUACGAUGACCAGGUCAAUGCCGCUAGCCGUUCCAGAGACUUCGACGACCUCCGCCACCUCCUCAACAAGUGCGUGAAGGACAACUGCUUCAACACCACCAACACCUUCAAGUUCAUCACCAGCACCGACGCCUCCCUCUCCGUACUCAACGAUCUCUGUCGAACUCAACUCUGGCUCGUCUUGACAAUGGCUUCGCCCGAAAGAGCGCGUACGACUCGCUCAUCGCGCGGCUCUGAAAGCUGGAGAGGGUCGACGAGGCGCUGCGCGUGGUGGAAAUGAUGGCCCGUGGAAACCACGGCAUGAACGCGUGUAGCUUUCACCCCAUACUCAAUGUUGUUAUGGAGGAAGCGUGGGCCGUGGUGGAUUUGAUGAGGAGGCUUGGGGCUCCGCUGGAUCUGACGGCGUACAAUUAUCUACUGAUGGCGUAUUGUUUCUCUGGAGAUUUGGAUCUGACGGCUGCAGUGCUGAAGAGGAUUGAGGAGAAGGGGAUGAGUGCGGACACGCGUACGUACGACGCGCUGGUGCUGGACGCUGCAAGGCGGGGAAGGUGGAGGGGGCUCUGGUGCUGCUGAGGAGGAUGGUGGACGAUGGAGUGCCGAUGCAGCUUUCGACACACGUGUACGUGAUUGAUUCGCUGCUGAACGCGAGCUUUUACUAUCAGACGGUGAAGUUUGUGAGGAGCUUUAGCAGGAGGGACACGUGGCUGGAUAAGGAGAAUUUCGGGAGCUUGGCGUAUCGGCUCAUCAAGUUGAAGAGGUUUGACAAGGCAAAACUGGUCUUGGACGAAAUGAAAUCCAGGGGUUUAGAUAUGGGCGAGAAAUUGAAGGAGAAAUAUGAGAUUAUUUAGUGUUAAUCAAAUGAUUUGUUUUCUCAAUUAGUUAGUGUUAA